AAGUAGGGCGGGACACGUGAUAUCCUGUCUGAAGAUGGGGGGACCAUCCUCCAAGGCUAAAUACUCCUGAUUGACCGAUAGUGAACCAGUACUGUGAAGGAAAGGCGAAAAGAACCCCGGUGAGGGGAGUGAAAUAGAACCUGAAACCUUGUACGUACAAGCAGUGGGAGCCGUAAGGUGACUGCGUACCUUUUGUAUAAUGGGUCAGCGACUUAUAUUUUGUAGCGAGGUUAACCGAAUAGGGGAGCCGAAGGGAAACCGAGUCUUAACUGGGCGUUUAGUUGCAAGGUAUAGACCCGAAACCCGGUGAUCUAGCCAUGGGCAGGUUGAAGGUUGGGUAACACUAACUGGAGGACCGAACCGACUAAUGUUGAAAAAUUAGCGGAUGACUUGUGGCUGGGGGUGAAAGGCCAAUCAAACCGGGAGAUAGCUGGUUCUCCCCGAAAUCUAUUUAGGUAGAGCCUUGAGCGGACACCUUUGGGGGUAGAGCACUGUUUCGGCUAGGGGGCCAUCCCGGCUUACCAACCCGAUGCAAACUACGAAUACCAAAGAGUGAUACUCAGGAGACACACGGCGGGUGCUAACGUCCGUCGUGGAGAGGGAAACAACCCAGACCGCCAGCUAAGGUCCCAAAGUUUAUAUUAAGUGGGAAACGAAGUGGGAAGGCUUAGACAGCUAGGAUGUUGGCUUAGAAGCAGCCAUCAUUUAAAGAAAGCGUAAUAGCUCACUAGUCGAGUCGGCCUGCGCGGAAGAUGUAACGGGGCUCAAAUAUAGCACCGAAGCUGCGGCAUCAGGAGCAACAUUAAUGGUUUUUACGAUUAACAACUUACGAACAAAGUGAGUGAGUUGGUCAAGCCAACAAAACGUUGAGUCGGAUUUAACGACAAGAAUCAUUAAUGUUGCUCCUGUUGGGUAGGGGAGCGUUGUGUAAGCGGAUGAAGAUAGAUUGAGAGGUCUGUUGGACGUAUCACAAGUGCGAAUGCUGACAUAAGUAACGAUAAAACGGGUGAAAAACCCGUUCGCCGGAAGACCAAGGUUUCCUGUCCAACGUUAAUCGGGGCAGGGUGAGUCGGCCCCUAAGGCGAGGCUGAAAAGCGUAGUCGAUGGGAAACGGGUUAAUAUUCCCGUACUUGGAUAAACUGCGAUGUGGGGACGGAGCAGGUUAGGUUAGCGUGCUGUUGGAUAUGCACGUUUAAG
RNAcentral lists this ribosomal RNA (1197 nucleotides) under Rodentibacter ratti. RNAcentral describes it as "bacterial LSU rRNA". It matches the Rfam family "Bacterial large subunit ribosomal RNA", at positions 410 to 1516 of the family's 2925-position model. The record is from RNAcentral. Lineage: Bacteria; Pseudomonadati; Pseudomonadota; Gammaproteobacteria; Pasteurellales; Pasteurellaceae.